UCUUAGCCCUGAUGGGAGCGGCAUCCUUUUAUGGCGGUGUUCGCCAUAAAAGAUAUAGCGCACAGCAGGAAUCAGC
This 76-nucleotide small RNA is filed under the name Flavobacterium circumlabens. Its description in RNAcentral is "Flavo-1 RNA". It matches the Rfam family "Flavo-1 RNA". Lineage: Bacteria; Pseudomonadati; Bacteroidota; Flavobacteriia; Flavobacteriales; Flavobacteriaceae. The record is from RNAcentral.